UGGGGUCUCUGGGGGCUUUGGGACUGUGUAGGGUGUCUGUAGGAGGGCUGGAGUGCUGUGCAAGGACAGCUCUGGGGUGUGGCUGCUCCCUGGGGAGGUGUUGGGCCCACAGCAGGGUGGGAGCGCGGAGUGGGGCCCGUGGGGUGUAAGGGGUGAGCUCUGUGGUGGGGAGGGGGCUGCAGCAGCCAGAGCAGGGUUUGUUUUUGCUGUGAGUGUCCCAGAACUUUGUGUGUCCCAGGGUUCCCUGCCAGGGCUCAGCCCCAGAUGGUGACACAGGCGGGACUGGGUGCUGCCAUUGCUGAGGUGAGGGAGCAGCAGGUGGCUGGAGCAGGAGGUGAUUCUGCAGGAUAGUGAGAGCUGCUCUUGCAGUUUGGUAAUUCCUGUGUGGUCUUGUUGGGUUAUCACAGAAUCAUAGAAGGGUUUAGGCUGAAAGGGAGAAUAGAGACCCUCUCCUUCCACCCCUGCCAUGGGCAGGGACACCUUCCACUAUCCCAGGUUGCUCCAAGCCCAGUCCAGCCUGGCCUUGAAUACAUCCACAGCUUCUCUGGGCACCCUGUGCCAGGGCCUCCCCACCCUCCCUAAUACCCCAUCCAACCUUUGUCUGUGCCUGUUGAAGCCAUUCCUCCUUAUCCUGGUACUCCCUGCUCUUGUAAAAACUCCCCCUCCAGCUUUCCUGUGGGUUAUAGAAAGCAGCUGUGCCUAAUGGAUGGUGAACAUGAAUAAAAUCUGUUUUUCAAAGCUGA
This is a long non-coding RNA of Melospiza melodia melodia, 743 nucleotides long. RefSeq lists it as uncharacterized. The record is from RefSeq and is a predicted model, not a curated record. Lineage: Eukaryota; Metazoa; Chordata; Aves; Passeriformes; Passerellidae. The transcript is spliced from 2 exons.